RNAcentral lists this ribosomal RNA (119 nucleotides) under Lupinus angustifolius (narrow-leaved blue lupine). The record is from RNAcentral. Lineage: Eukaryota; Viridiplantae; Streptophyta; Magnoliopsida; Fabales; Fabaceae.
AGUUGCGAUCAUAGUAGCAUUCAUGCACCAGAUCCCAUCAAAACUCUGUAGUUAAGCGCGUUAGGACGAGAGUAGUACUAGGAUGGGUGACCUCGUGGGAAGUCCUCGUGUUGCACCCC